GUUACGAUAAAAUUAUUGCUCAAAAUUAAAUUUGGAUACUAGAAAAGUGUAUAGU
Molecule: small RNA, 55 nt
Filed under: Arabidopsis thaliana (thale cress)
Lineage: Eukaryota; Viridiplantae; Streptophyta; Magnoliopsida; Brassicales; Brassicaceae
Description: ATSL123510
Source: RNAcentral